Molecule: RNA transcript, 4032 nt
Organism: Hirundo rustica (Barn swallow)
Lineage: Eukaryota; Metazoa; Chordata; Aves; Passeriformes; Hirundinidae
Gene name: tumor necrosis factor ligand superfamily member 8-like
Exons: 2
Source: RefSeq, a predicted model, not a curated record
UGUGAAUGAAGACGCUGCUCCCAGGAGGCUUGGAGCCACUAACAGAGUGUGUUUGUACUUCAUCAUCGCCACCCUGGGCGCGUUGCUCGUCUUUGCCUUGGCCACCAUCAUGGUCCUGGUCGUCCAGAGGACGCUCUGUAAAUGGAAGGAGAACGCUCCUACUGCGAGGUGCCCAGCAGCCUGUGUCCCUCCUGGUUUGAUGUGUGUGUCCUGCUGGCCCUUUGGAGAGCAAUCCCGUGUUUGAGAGGGUUUGCUCUGGUCUGGUGCUCUGAAAUGGGUUGCAGCAGGGGACGUGCCACAGCUCUGUGUGCUACCCUGUGCUGCUGCCUGCUGAUGAGGUGAGGCAGAGUUCUCCUGGAGCACCCAGAGCAGGGCUGGGGGCCAAGGAACUCCCUCGUGGCCCCUGUCCCCUCAGUCCUGCCUUGGGUGUGAUUCCUAAUGCACAACCCGAGUUGUAGAAAGGAUAUCAGCCACACAAGGUCGCGCACAAACAACUUUUCCCUCUAACAACCGUCGCUUUAACUUCUUAAAAUAAAAGAUUGCUCUCAAAUGGAUCUGGUGUUGGUGGGGAAGCAGUGACAGCCAGAGCAGAGAUAGAUGGUUGUGAGGAUACAAAGUGAAUUUCUGACCUUGUAGAGGCGUUGCUAUCAACUUUACCAAGGUAAAAUGCCACGUUAGAAUUUUUAUAGGCUCUGAAAUCUUACUGCAAAAAUCAAAGUGCUGAGGUGCCCCCACUAUUGUUCAUAGAGGGAAAGCUCCAGUGCAGGCCUGCUGGAGGAACUGGCAGUGGAAAACAAAAUAUGAGCCUUGGACUCAGUAUUUUCUCCUGCUAAAUUUAUCCUGUGCAUUUUGUGUGCCUGUGUGUGCACGUUAUCCAGAAAUUAAACCAGGAAGGCUUGACUGAUACUCCUCCAAGAGAGGAAUCAUUUACCUGUAAUCAGUGUUCUCCCAAAAGAGAAGCACUUUGAGGACAGUUAACGUGAGACAUGGGGCUUUUAAAGUGAGAAAUAGUGGGAUAUCAGGGGAAAUCUUUAAAAUAACACUCUAGGUAAUUACAGACUUGCCACAGCUUUGCUGUAUAAUGAGGCUUUCAUUUGUACUGAUUAUGGAAGCAAGCAUUAAAUCACCUCUCCAUCAGGAUAAAGCAGUUACAGGAGUUGCCAGAGGGACAAGAUUGCUGAAAGAGCCGAGGUUUUGACUUAAAAGAGUAAUGACACCAUUGCAGCUGCUUUGAAAACGAGCUUGGCUGAAGGAGGAAAUACGAAGCUGAGGGCUGCGAGGAACAAAUGAAAUCAAGCAGCAAUUUUACGCUCUGAGGAGAAUUUGGCAGUAAAACGCAGAUUGUGUUUUGCUCUCGGGGAGUUCAGAAGCAGAGCAGUCACCCCCCAGCUGUGGCUGGUCCUGAACCCCCGGAGCAGAAGACGAGUGUUGGUUCUGUGGGACAGAACCAGGCUUGCUCCAAAGAGCCCUUGGCUGCAGUGUCGGAGUGAGGCUGGGCACAGAAUCUUUUGGGAACCAGCCGUGGUUGGGCUGAGCAUCUCCAGCCCUGACUGCCAGGACCUGGGGGGCCGGGGAGUCCCUGGAGCCCUGUGCACGCUGAGCUGCUGUAGGGAUGGAUCACAGCAUCACCAGAUGGAGUUAUUGUUUUCUCUGUAACUGUGACAAAAAACCCAACAUUUUGUGUGAUCGCCUCCUUGGGACCAUCAGCUUUUCCCUCCAGAUGUUUUCAGCUGGAUUGUGCGAGUGGUCCCUGAGUUCAGGGGCAACUUCCCACCCUCCUUAUGCUGAGCUGAGAGAGCAGCUCUUACUUCCCUCUGUUCCAAGGGGUGUUUGAGGGUCACAGGGACGAUGCAGGGGUUGCACCCUUGGGUGCCACGGCAUUAAGAGCCUUAUGGUGGCAAGACCACGCUGUCCCUGCCCCCAGCACCGGCUGCCUUUUGAUGAAUUCAUAAUUGCCUAAUUUAAGUUGAAGGAAGGCAGACUGGAAAAGGAAAAUCAAACUCUGCAGAAAGCGGGCGCUGGCAGCCCCCACAAUCUGGGCGCUCCAAAGAAGGGAAACAAAGAAGGGAAAAAGGCAACUAUGAUUCAAAGCUGCUUCUCUGAAUCCUGCAGCGCCUCUAACAGACAUUAUCACACCUCCCCACUUUCCAGCACCCCAAGAAAUUUCCUUUACGCCUUGUUUUCAAGAAGGGUGGCGCGGCACGUUACUGCCACAUCUGGGAAGCGUCAGUUUUAGAGCUAAACUCUGGUUUUUUGAACAAUUUGCGGUGCUGAAGUCAGUUCAUUUCUUCAGCUUUCAUCUGCAGAACCACUUGGCUUCAGGCCAUUGCUGAUCGUUCAGGAGUGACUCAGUUUUGCUCUGGAAUGAGAACGGUGUAAGGUGGUCUGGAGCCAUCAUUUUUCUUCUUGACUCUGUUUAGAAGUGUGUCAAACCCUCCACCCUCCUGCCUGCUGCAUUCACUGCUGGGUAUGUGUUAUAUAUACACCCCUGGAGAUGUUCGUGUGUAGAGAGAGAGAGAUGUGAAACCAGUGACAGAGAAUGGGGCAGGAAGGGCUGGAAAAUGGCAUUUUAAGGCACACAGACCCUCAUAAGGCUGGUGCUGUACAGGAAGGUUCAGGAGACACCUGGGCCUCCCAUUACAAACUCGGUGUGAAUGUCCAGAGUCCACGAUCUGGGUUAGUCCAUCACUGCUCUGGGUUUUGUAGACUUCACAUAUCAAACCUCUAAAUUGUGUGGGAAAGCCUUUUUAUCACCAGUGUGGUGAAUACUAAAGGUCAGAGCAGGUUUUGCUAUUUGCUGAUCUGCUCUUCAAGGCUGUUAAGAACCUUUAGCAGUAGGUUUGUGACUCACACAGCACCCAGCACAAUCCUGCACUGUUUAUUGGGGUUUUAUGUCUCCUAAAAACUCAUUUUGGCCCUGGGUGCCCCACUCAGGCAACCCCCCUCUUGUGGCAGCCCUGACAGACAGGAAAAUAAAAUUUUAAAAAUAAAAUUAAAAUCCUGAAAAUUCCUCUAAAAGCAGAUUUCCCACUCAUUGGGCACUACAGGAAUUCCACUGAGGCAUUUUAGGAGAAAACUGCCCUGGCCCAGCUCCUGCAGUGGGGUGUUCUGCACAGUGACAGUCACCUGCUGUCUGGAGGUGCCACUUUAACCGCUUUGGUCAGCACAGGAAAAACUGAUUUUCACCCAGGGCUGUUCCCUGUGAGGCUCGCUCUCAGUGCUCUGCUUUCUGCACUUUCUGUGUCCAGCUGUAACCUGUGCCUCUUGGCACCUCAGGAGGAAGGAGAAGACAUCUUCUUCCCCAGCCAGAGCUGGGUCAUGGAAUAAAUCCCAGAGUCAGCGAGGUUGGAAAAGACCUCUCAGACCAUCAAAUCCCACCUCGUCCCCAGCCCAGGGCACUGAGUGCCACCUCCAGCCCUUCCUGGGACACCUCCAGCGAUGGGAACUCCAAACCUCCCUGGGCAGCCCCUGCCAAGGCCUGGCCACCCUUUCCAUGGAGAAAUUCCUGCUGAAAUCAUGGAGGUUUGAGGCUGGGCAGAAACAUGGGAGGGCCUUGGGGCUUCUCUUUUAAAUUGAAGAUUUUCCUUGGAGUGCAGGGUGCCAAAGAGCUCUUCCCCACAGAGCUGCCAGAGAUGCUCUUGGAGAGCCCAGCCCCAUGGUGGGGACUGUGGCUUGGGGGAAUUUCCUUGGACUUUCCAGAGGUAGAUGAAGACUUGACAGAAUCCCGGACUGGCUUGGGUUGGAAGUGACCUUAGAACUCAUCCAGUGCCACCCCAGCCACGACAGGGACACCUCCCACUGUCCCAGGCUGCUCCAAGCCCCAGUGUCCAACCUGGCCUUGGGCACUGCCAGGGAUCCAGGGGCAGCCACAGCUGCUCUGGGCACCCUGUGCCAGGGCCUCAACACCCUCCCAGGGGUCAGAGGUGUCUGGUUCCAUGAAUAUUCACUGUUGUGACCCAGGAAUUUAGAAUGACCCUUUAUUCUGCCUCAGCUUGAGAAAAAUUUUGUAAAAUGAUUAAGGGAAAGAAGAAU